UGCGAUAAGUAGGUCGGGACACGUGAUAUCUUGACUGAAGAUGGGGGGACCAUCCUCCAAGGCUAAAUACUACCAACUGACCGAUAGUGAACCAGUACCGUGAGGGAAAGGCGAAAAGAACCCCGGAGAGGGGAGUGAAAUAGAACCUGAAACCGUGUACGUACAAGCAGUGGGAGCCCUUCGGGGUGACUGCGUACCUUUUGUAUAAUGGGUCAGCGACUUAUUGUCUGUAGCAAGCUUAACCGUUUAGGGGAGGCGUAGGGAA
Halioglobus sp. HI00S01 is the source of this 265-nucleotide ribosomal RNA. It matches the Rfam family "Bacterial large subunit ribosomal RNA", at positions 404 to 675 of the family's 2925-position model. The record is from Rfam. NCBI's taxonomy places the organism in Bacteria, Pseudomonadati, Pseudomonadota, Gammaproteobacteria, Cellvibrionales, Halieaceae.